ACAAAACGAAUAGACUGCAAAAAUGCACUGCACCUUCAUAUGUCAAUGUUGUUCUUGGCUAAAAAACCAAUAUCAAAGGAAACUGCAGCAGGGCAACAAAACGCACAAAACAACCUCAACAGUGAUUAAAGAAGCGAAGCUGAACUGAUAACCCUGCAAAACAAAACUGCAGUUGCAUAAACAUAGACGGAAAACAAAUCCAGCAGAAAACAUUCACAUCGUGCACAACACAGCUGCAGAAAACAACAUGGAAGGCAGCCAACAAUAAAAAAAUAGAAAUAGACUUGCAGCCGAAACAUAAAAGUACAAAAAUGCAUCAGCACUCAAACAAAAAUUAGUUGCUCCAAAACCCUGAACUAAACUCAGCUCCUUCCCGUAUUCUUAUUAUAAUCCUUACUGAUUAACAUUUUCUUUUAUAUUUUGAGUACUAUAUGCUAACUGAACCUUUACUAACUAUAAACUUUAGGGCUCAACUUGAAGGAACCUUAUUAAAUUUAUUUUAGAAACAAAAAGAAUAGACUGCAAAAAUGUAGUGCUCCUUCCUAUGUCAUUGUUGUUCUAAGCUAAAAAUCAAUUUUAAAACAACUGAUAAAACCUAAUUUUAGUAAUUGUUUUCCUCCUUGAUAAACCUCUUAUUCCUCUUUUACCGGUGCAUCCACAUUAUGCUGUAAAAAAAAUUAGCACAAUAUGUAGGUUUUAGAAUUUUUUAGAAUAAAAGAAAGGAACAAUAAACCUUCAAUAGGUGCCGCCGGCGGCCGCUUUGAGCACUUCGAAAGAGAAAAACAGGAAGGAAUAAAAGAAUUACCAUGUUUUUCCAACAAUUUUGACGGAUGAGAUCGGUGCCAAAUUUGAUUAAGAAUUUGGCGACAUCGAUUCAACAGUGGAGAGAAGUAAUAAAGAACAAACAAUAAACAAACUAAGGACAUAUUAGAGGUUGUCUGAGGCAUGAUUCCAAAUCACAAUAUAAGAAUUUGAAGAAUCUCUAGUCACAUCACAUGGAAGAAAGGAAUGUGAUUACCAUCGCCAAGUUGUGUUUCAUCAUCAUCCUCAACAUUUUCAAAUGUAUUAAGUCCCAACGAUUUCGAAAUUUGAGCACUCACUGCAGCCAAAACACACAAAUCACAAUAUAGGUCAAAUUAUAGGUGAAAGUUCAUCAAAACAUUAUAUCAAACAGAUGGGGGAGGCAAAAGUAAGUGGAAAAACUGAUUCACAAAGCCUACCAUAUAAGAAACAGAUGCACAUUCCAGUUUGGUUUUGUUCAACUUCAGAUAAUAACAAUUGAAAGCAUAACAUGUAUUUUUAAGAUGUAAAUAAAUCAUAUUAAUAGGUUCAUACCAUCAAUUUUCUGCAAGAUUUUCUUGACUUUAUGGUUGCAUCCAUUCCAUAUGUUCAUUUUAAGCACAGAUUUCUGCAUACACAGUAAACAUAAGAUGAAGUUUAAUUUCAUUGUUCAAAAAAUGAAAAAUUAACUAAAAUGGGACAAAUGAUACAUAACACAAAAGCAAAAAUAAAAGAACCAUGGAGAAUGUGAUGGGAUUACAUGGAUCUUCAAAAACUCUUCUUUCAUCUGGGCAAUAGAAAAAAUGGUGAUUUAAAUAUGAGCAGAAUAGAAUAAAUGAGUAAAAGGUCGGUGAGUAUAUAAAAUCAAACUCAAAAUCAAAUUUUUACAAAACUAUCAAAACAUCAUGUUUAUCCCCUCAAAAACCCUAAACACAGAAUCAAAAAAUGAAAUUCGAGCCAUCUAGUGUAGCGUGCGACCAUGAAAAUAAAUUGAAUCAAUUAAAGGAAAGAGUAUAGGAAUUGAGAUACCUGAGAUCAAUAGAAGAAGCAGAUGAGAGUAGUUGGGACGAGAGAGAGGAAAACAUGCAUAGAAGAGAGAGAGUGAUGUUGCUUGCAGUAUGUCAUGAACCAAGAG
RNAcentral lists this long non-coding RNA (1915 nucleotides) under Medicago truncatula (barrel medic). RNAcentral describes it as "long non-coding RNA (MTRU_LNC007598)". The record is from RNAcentral. Lineage: Eukaryota; Viridiplantae; Streptophyta; Magnoliopsida; Fabales; Fabaceae.